AGCUUUCAAAUGGACAAGGUAGAGGUAACAAUAAGAAUUACAAAGGAGGAAAAAAAUUACCAUUAAGUGUUUGUCUCUGCUUUCUUUUUAUUGGCCUGUAGAACACAUUUGGAAUAUUGGGUUCACUGGGGGUCGCAGAGGUGGGUUCACUGAUCACAGAGUUGGAGUCAUUGGGGGUCGCAGAGGCGGGUUCCCUGGACACAGAGUUGGAGUCAUUGGGGGUCGCAGAGGCGGGUUCCCUGGACACAGAGUUGGAGUCAUUGGGGGUUGCAGAGGCGGGUUCCCUGGACACAGAGGUGGAGUCAUUGGGGGUCGCAGAGGCGGGUUCACUGGACACAGAGGUGGAGUCAUUGGGGGUCGCAGAGGCGGGUUCCCUGGACACAGAGGUGGAGUCAUUGGGGGUCGCAGAGGCGGGUUCACUGGUGGCAGAGGUGGAGUUGCUCCCUGUGGAGGAUUAGGGAAAAGAACAGUCUUUAGUCAACAUGUUUAGUCUACAUGUAUGUAUGUAUGCAUGCAUGUAUGUAUGUAUGUAUGCGUGUCUAUAGACACACAGAGUGGCUGAACCAGCUAAUUAAGAUCUUCAGGAGUACUU
Molecule: long non-coding RNA, 592 nt
Organism: Cyprinus carpio carpio
Lineage: Eukaryota; Metazoa; Chordata; Actinopteri; Cypriniformes; Cyprinidae
Source: Ensembl